CAGUAGCCGCGGUAAUACGAAGGGGGCUAGCGCUGCUCGGAAUUACUGGGCGUAAAGGGCGCGUAGGCGGACAGUUCAGUCGGGGGUGAAAGCCCGGGGCUCAACCUCGGAAUUGCCUUCGAUACUGGCUGUCUUGAGUAUGAGAGAGGUGUGUGGAACUCCGAGUGUAGAGGUGAAAUUCGUAGAUAUUCGGAAGAACACCAGUGGCGAAGGCGACUCGCCGGACAAGUAUUGACGCUGAGGUGCGAAAGCGUGGGGAGCAAACAGGAUUAGAUACCCGUGUAGUCCCUGUCUCUUAUAC
This 301-nucleotide ribosomal RNA is filed under the name uncultured bacterium. Its description in RNAcentral is "partial 16S ribosomal RNA". It matches the Rfam family "Bacterial small subunit ribosomal RNA", at positions 509 to 807 of the family's 1533-position model. The record is from RNAcentral.